UGGUGGAGUGAUUUGUCUGGUUAAUUCCGUUAACGAACGAGACCUCGACCUGCUAAAUAGUUCAACGAAUUCUUCUGGAUUCGUCUGUGACUUCUUAGAGGGACUAUCGGUGGGUAGCCGAUGGAAGUUCGAGGCAAUAACA
This 142-nucleotide ribosomal RNA is filed under the name uncultured eukaryote. Its description in RNAcentral is "partial 18S ribosomal RNA". It matches the Rfam family "Eukaryotic small subunit ribosomal RNA", at positions 1299 to 1458 of the family's 1831-position model. The record is from RNAcentral.